Molecule: ribosomal RNA, 792 nt
Filed under: uncultured bacterium
Lineage: Bacteria
Description: bacterial SSU rRNA
Rfam family: Bacterial small subunit ribosomal RNA
Source: RNAcentral
UCGAACGAGUUCUCGUUGAUGAUCGGCGCUUGCACCGAGAUUCAACAUGGAACGAGUGGCGGACGGGUGAGUAACACGUGGGUAACCUGCCCUUAAGUGGGGGAUAACAUUUGGAAACAGAUGCUAAUACCGCAUAGAUCCAAGAACCGCAUGGUUCUUGGCUGAAAGAUGGCGUAAGCUAUCGCUUUUGGAUGGACCCGCGGCGUAUUAGCUAGUUGGUGAGGUAAUGGCUCACCAAGGCGAUGAUACGUAGCCGAACUGAGAGGUUGAUCGGCCACAUUGGGACUGAGACACGGCCCAAACUCCUACGGGAGGCAGCAGUAGGGAAUCUUCCACAAUGGACGCAAGUCUGAUGGAGCAACGCCGCGUGAGUGAAGAAGGCUUUCGGGUCGUAAAACUCUGUUGUUGGAGAAGAAUGGUCGGCAGAGUAACUGUUGUCGGCGUGACGGUAUCCAACCAGAAAGCCACGGCUAACUACGUGCCAGCAGCCGCGGUAAUACGUAGGUGGCAAGCGUUAUCCGGAUUUAUUGGGCGUAAAGCGAGCGCAGGCGGUUUUUUAAGUCUGAUGUGAAAGCCCUCGGCUUAACCGAGGAAGCGCAUCGGAAACUGGGAAACUUGAGUGCAGAAGAGGACAGUGGAACUCCAUGUGUAGCGGUGAAAUGCGUAGAUAUAUGGAAGAACACCAGUGGCGAAGGCGGCUGUCUGGUCUGUAACUGACGCUGAGGCUCGAAAGCAUGGGUAGCGAACAGGAUUAGAUACCCUGGUAGUCCAUGCCGUAAACGAUGAAUGCUA